AGAAUCAACGCUGGCGGCGUGCCUAAUACAUGCAAGUCGAACGCGAAGACCCCGCAAGGGGUUGGUAGCGUGGCAAACGGGUGAGUAACGCGUGGGCGACCUGCCUUCGAGUGGGGGAUAACCUUCCGAAAGGAGGGCUAAUACCGCAUGACAUGCUCUGUUUGGAUACAGGGACAUCAAAGCCGGGGAUCGCAAGACCUGGCGCUUGAAGAGGGGCCUACGUCCGAUUAGCUAGUUGGUGGGGUAAUGGCUCACCAAGGCGACGAUCGGUA
This 272-nucleotide ribosomal RNA is filed under the name uncultured bacterium. RNAcentral's name for it is "partial small subunit ribosomal RNA". It matches the Rfam family "Bacterial small subunit ribosomal RNA", at positions 26 to 285 of the family's 1533-position model. The record is from RNAcentral.